UUUUUUUCGAGAUUCAUAGCUAACUUGUUACUUCUCUUCCAUUUCUGGUGGAAGAAAAGAAAAAAUGUCAGUCUCUUUAGAAGCUCUAGCAACGGCUGGUGCUGAUUAUAAUGAGUGCAAUAUUGAUCUUGAAUGGUGGGAGAGAGAAAAUUCAAAAACCAACCCCUCUAGUUUGCUGCUAGAUGAUACCUACAACUAUAGCUUAUGCUUCUCCUUCUGUAACUUAACAAAGGCAUGCAAGUUAUGCAAAAUGAAGUCUUUGCGUCGAGCUAAAUACAAAGAUUGUUCAAGAACUUGUCAGAGAUGCAACAGCGAAGGCCGCUUAAGAUCGAUGGGAACCCUGAUGAUGAAAGCUAUAAGAAAGUUUUUUAUGAUGGUGAAAAUGGCGAUGACAAGGUUUUAGUUUAUUAUCUUCAGAAAUAGAACUAACAUUCACUUGUUAGGAAUAUAUAUGGAGAGCAAACUUUAGGACUGUAAUUUUCAGUUCUUUACAAUGUUUUGAAGGUGUUGGCUUUGCUUUUCGUUUCAUAAAGUCCUCACUUUCUUGUUUCUUGAAUUAUGUUA
RNAcentral lists this long non-coding RNA (564 nucleotides) under Ricinus communis (castor bean). Its description in RNAcentral is "long non-coding RNA (RCOM_LNC000379)". Lineage: Eukaryota; Viridiplantae; Streptophyta; Magnoliopsida; Malpighiales; Euphorbiaceae. The record is from RNAcentral.